RNAcentral lists this unclassified non-coding RNA (286 nucleotides) under Hevea brasiliensis (rubber tree). Lineage: Eukaryota; Viridiplantae; Streptophyta; Magnoliopsida; Malpighiales; Euphorbiaceae. The record is from RNAcentral.
CAAAUAAAAAAAAUAUAAUAAUAAAUUUCAGGAAAGACUUUCAAUACAUCUAAACAAAAGAGACAGAUGAACGGCGACUCAAUUAAUCAGGUCCCCAAAGGAUCAGGUUCAUGAGAAUCUCAGCCUUCUCUUCCCUCCUUGUCCUCAACUUGUCAUCACUGCUAAUUCUCAUUGCCUGAUUAUUAACAGCAGAUCCACCAAUUCUACUGCCACUAUUAUUGUUGGGUGCUGCAGAUUCGGCCACCCAACCAAUAUUUCUCUUCCGCUCCAUGGACUUGAAUUUCAG